RNAcentral lists this ribosomal RNA (332 nucleotides) under uncultured bacterium. RNAcentral's name for it is "bacterial SSU rRNA". It matches the Rfam family "Bacterial small subunit ribosomal RNA", at positions 568 to 898 of the family's 1533-position model. The record is from RNAcentral.
CGCGCAGGCGGUCGUAUAAGUCGAAUGUGAAAGCCCCCGGCUCAACUGGGGAGGGUCAUUCGAUACUGUUCGACUCGAAGGCAGGAGAGGGAAGUGGAAUUCCGGGUGUAGUGGUGAAAUGCGUAGAUAUCCGGAGGAACACCAGUGGCGAAGGCGACUUUCUGGCCUGUUCUUGACGCUGAGGCGCGAAAGCUAGGGGAGCAAACGGGAUUAGAUACCCCGGUAGUCCUAGCCGUAAACGAUGGACACUAGGUGUUGGUGGUAUCAACCCCGCCAGUGCCGUAGCUAACGCAUUAAGUGUCCCGCCUGGGGAGUACGGCCGCAAGGCUAAA